GUGGGGAAUAUUGGACAAUGGGGGCAACCCUGAUCCAGCAAUGCCGCGUGGGCGAUGAAGGCCUUCGGGUUGUAAAGCCCUUUUGCACGCGACGAUGAUGACGGUAGCGUGAGAAGAAGCCCCGGCUAACUUCGUGCCAGCAGCCGCGGUAAUACGAAGGGGGCGAGCGUUGUUCGGAAUUACUGGGCGUAAAGGGCGCGCAGGCGGCCUUAGAAGUCAGAUGUGAAAGCCCCGGGCUCAACCUGGGAAUGGCAUUUGAUACUCUGAGGCUGGAGUACGGGAGAGGAGAGUGGAAUUCCCAGUGUAGAGGUGAAAUUCGUAGAUAUUGGGAAGAACACCGGUGGCGAAGGCGGCUCUCUGGACCGUAACUGACGCUGAGGCGCGAAAGCGUGGGGAGCAAACAGGAUUAGAAACCCCUGUAGUCC
RNAcentral lists this ribosomal RNA (425 nucleotides) under uncultured bacterium. Its description in RNAcentral is "bacterial SSU rRNA". It matches the Rfam family "Bacterial small subunit ribosomal RNA", at positions 354 to 796 of the family's 1533-position model. The record is from RNAcentral.